AAUUAUACACCGCCGGGUGUCAACUAAAAAAGUACUCUUAUAAAUUCCAUUAGGCCACAGAAGGAAUUUGUAGGGGUACUUUAUUUUU
RNAcentral lists this non-coding RNA (88 nucleotides) under unclassified sequences. The record is from RNAcentral.